Molecule: ribosomal RNA, 562 nt
Filed under: Saccharomyces cerevisiae (brewer's yeast)
Lineage: Eukaryota; Fungi; Ascomycota; Saccharomycetes; Saccharomycetales; Saccharomycetaceae
Description: partial large subunit ribosomal RNA
Rfam family: Eukaryotic large subunit ribosomal RNA
Source: RNAcentral
GGCGAGUGAAGCGGCAAAAGCUCAAAUUUGAAAUCUGGUACCUUCGGUGCCCGAGUUGUAAUUUGGAGAGGGCAACUUUGGGGCCGUUCCUUGUCUAUGUUCCUUGGAACAGGACGUCAUAGAGGGUGAGAAUCCCGUGUGGCGAGGAGUGCGGUUCUUUGUAAAGUGCCUUCGAAGAGUCGAGUUGUUUGGGAAUGCAGCUCUAAGUGGGUGGUAAAUUCCAUCUAAAGCUAAAUAUUGGCGAGAGACCGAUAGCGAACAAGUACAGUGAUGGAAAGAUGAAAAGAACUUUGAAAAGAGAGUGAAAAAGUACGUGAAAUUGUUGAAAGGGAAGGGCAUUUGAUCAGACAUGGUGUUUUGUGCCCUCUGCUCCUUGUGGGUAGGGGAAUCUCGCAUUUCACUGGGCCAGCAUCAGUUUUGGUGGCAGGAUAAAUCCAUAGGAAUGUAGCUUGCCUCGGUAAGUAUUAUAGCCUGUGGGAAUACUGCCAGCUGGGACUGAGGACUGCGACGUAAGUCAAGGAUGCUGGCAUAAUGGUUAUAUGCCGCCCGUCUUGAAACCACG